Long non-coding RNA from Eriocheir sinensis (Chinese mitten crab), 2502 nucleotides. RefSeq lists it as uncharacterized. NCBI's taxonomy places the organism in Eukaryota, Metazoa, Arthropoda, Malacostraca, Decapoda, Varunidae. The transcript has 2 exons. The record is from RefSeq and is a predicted model, not a curated record.
UGAGAUCGAAAAUUAUUGAAACGUGUGUGAAACUGUGUGGGUGAGAUCGAAACUUAUUGAAACGUGUGUGAAACUGUGGGUAAGAUCGAAACUUAUUGAAACGGGCGUGAAACUGUGUGGGUGAGAUCGAAACUUAUUGAAACGUGUGUGAAACUGUGGGUGAGAUCGAAACUUAUUGAAACGUGCGUGAAACUGUGUGGGUGAGAUCGAAACUUAUUGAAACGUGCGUGAAACUGUGUGGGUGAGAUCGAAACUUAUUGAAACGUGUGUGAAACUGUGUGGGUGAGAUCGAAACUUAUUGAAACGUGCGUGAAACUGUGUGGGUGAGAUCGAAACUUAUUGAAACGUGUGUGAAACUGUGUGGGUGAGGACGAAACUUAUUGAAACGUGUGUGAAACUGUGUGGGUGAGGACGAAACUUAUUGAAACGUGUGUGAAACUGUGUGGGUGAGGACGAAACUUAUUGAAACGUGUGUGAAACUGUGUGGGUGAGAUCGAAACUUAUUGAAACGUGUGUGAAACUGUGUGUGAGAUCGAAACUUAUUGAAACGUGUGUGAAACUGUGGGUGAGAUCGAAACUUAUUGAAACGUGUGAAACUGUGUGGGUGAGGACGAAACUUAUUGAAACGUGUGUGAAACUGUGUGGGUGAGAUCGAAACUUAUUGAAACGUGCGUGAAACUGUGGGUGAGAUCGAAACUUAUUGAAACGUGUGUGAAACUGUGUGGGUGAGAUCGAAACUUAUUGAAACGUGUGUGAAACUGUGUGGGUGAGAUCGAAACUUAUUGAAACGUGUGUGAAACUGUGUGGGUGAGAUCGAAACUUAUUGAAACGUGCGAUGAAAUUGUGGAAGAGAAUGAUACAAACUGAGACAUGUGUGAAACUGUGUGGAAGAGGACGAUACAGACUGAAACGCGUGAAACUGUGUGGGUGAGAACGAAACAGUCUGAAACAUGGAUGAAACUUGAGUGAAAGAAGCGAUACAGAUUGAAAAAUGUCUGAAACUGUGUGAAAGAGAACGAAACUUAUUGAAACAUGAAACUGUGAGAACGAAAGCCAUUGAAACGUGUGUGAAACUAUGUGGAUAAAAUCGAUACAGUCUGAAAUGUGUGUGAAACUGUGGAAGAGAACGAAACCUAUUGAAACGUCCGUGAAACUGGAUAUAAACGAAACUUGAAACACGUCUGACCUACAAAACCUGCAUUAUCCGAAGCCUGUUUCAUUUUAAGCCCACAUUCUCAGCCAUUUUGGGACACACACACACACACACACACACACACACACACACACACAUUUGAUAAGGCUUUCGUAGAAGAGGUUAAUUGAGUGGGUGUCAGUAUUUCCAUGGGUAGUUUUAUGGGCCUAGUGACAGUUUGACAAGACUUCUGUACCAUGAACCUGAAGAAAAAAACUCAUGAAAACACUACUAACCUCCUUUGUGAGAUUUGGAAAUGUUGCGAGAGCCGAAACCGUCUGAGAAUAUGGGUUUGAGAUCGGUAUUAUAAGACACUUUCGGCUCUCACAUCACCUACUUAUAAAGGUCAAAAACGGGAUCAGUCGGGUUCUAAUGAGUGUUUUUUUAGGUUCACGUUACUAAAGAAGAGUCAAACUACCACCUGGGUCAUGAAACUCCCCCUGGAAAUGCCCACAACUCAUACGAAAGUCUUGUUAAAUAUGUGUGUACUUGGGCGCCGAAAUGGUUGAAAAUAUGGCCCUUAAUUAGUCUACCAUGUUAUAAGGUUGAUUAUUACUUGUGUCUGUUACUGGUGCAGAGUUUUGAGAUAUAAGAUUGAGAAGAAUGAAGAUCCAAUGCUAUUUAAACCCUUUCUCUCUCAUAUAAGAUUGAGAAGAAUGAAGAUCCAAUAUGCUAUUUAAACCCUUUCUCUCUCAUAUAAGAUUGAGAGGAAUGAAGAUCCAAUAUGCUAUGUAAACCCUUUCUCUCUCAUAUAAGAUUGAGAGGAAUGAAGAUCCAAUAUGCUAUGUAAACCCUUUCUCUCUCGUAUAAGAUUGAGAGGAAUGAAGAUCCAAUGCUAUUUAAACCCUUUCUCUCUCAUAUAAGAUUGAGAAGAAUGAAGAUCCAAUAUGCUAUGUAAAUCCCUUCUCUCUCAUAUAAGAUUGAGAGGAAUGAAGAUCCAAUAUGCUAUGUAAAUCCUUUCUCUCUCAUAUAAGAUUGAGAAGAAUGAAGAUCCAAUAUGCUAUGUAAACCCUUUCUCUCUCGUAUAAGAUUGAGAGGAAUGAAGAUCCAAUAUGCUAUGUAAACCCUUUCUCUCUCAUAUAAGAUUGAGAGGAAUGAAGAUCCAAUAUGCUAUGUAAGCCCUUUCUCUCAUGACUGUAUAAAGAAAUCUCUCUCUCUCUCCCUCUCUCUCUCCUCCUUUCUCUCGUCUUCCUUAAUUGUUCGUUCGUGAAUCUGUUAUCCGUUAUACUCUUUCUGUUAACAUAGACCAUACGUAUCUGUUGUUGUAUAAAGAACAGUAAUAAUAAUAAUAAUAAUAAUACCUACUUGCC